Molecule: ribosomal RNA, 364 nt
Filed under: uncultured bacterium
Lineage: Bacteria
Description: partial 16S ribosomal RNA
Rfam family: Bacterial small subunit ribosomal RNA
Source: RNAcentral
CCUACGGGUGGCAGCAGUGAGGAAUAUUGGUCAAUGGGCGCGAGCCUGAACCAGCCAAGUCGCGUGAGGGAAGACGGCCCUACGGGUUGUAAACCUCUUUUGCCGGGGAGCAACGGGCGCCACGUGUGGCGCCACUGAGAGUACCCGGAGAAAAAGCAUCGGCUAACUCCGUGCCAGCAGCCGCGGUAAUACGGAGGAUGCGAGCGUUAUCCGGAUUUAUUGGGUUUAAGGGGUGCGUAGGCGGAGCGUUAAGUCAGUGGUAAAAUGGAGGGGCAAAAACCCUUCCCGCCAGUGAAACUGGCGCUCUGGAGAGGAAGAGAGGUAAGCGGAAUGCGUGGUGUAGGGGUGAAAUGCAUAGAUAUCA